This is a small nucleolar RNA of Myxocyprinus asiaticus (Chinese sucker), 71 nucleotides long. RefSeq annotates it as small nucleolar RNA SNORD82. Lineage: Eukaryota; Metazoa; Chordata; Actinopteri; Cypriniformes; Catostomidae. The record is from RefSeq and is a predicted model, not a curated record. The transcript has a single exon.
ACCACUAAAUGAUGAUCAACAAGGGACUUAAUACUGAUUCAUGUGAUGUCACCUUUUUCAGUUCUGAUUGG